CGAAUGAAGGGGCGUAGGGAGAGAUGGGAGGGCAGUGGAGGGGUAGAGCUGUCCCUUACAGGUGCAGCAGGAGGCAAAAGACUCGAUCAGGACCAAGUUCCGGGGGCCAGCGUUCCACGUAGAGUGGCCAGCAAGGAGCCGGCCCCAGCGGGAGAGCAGACAGGGCGUGCUGCCCACAGGGCCGGCUCACCUCUCCUCUUUCUGGACAUGCCUUGCUGGAGGUAAAGUACAGGACUGCACCUAGGUGAGUGGAAACCCCCUGCGGGAGGGGGUAGGGGUCGUGGGCUGCCGCAGCGCCUGCCUUCUGUGGCUGUCCUGUGACUAUCAGGUUGGGCGCCUUCAACUUCUAACACCCCCCCACCCGACCCCCCGCCAGAUGGUGAGAUUGGUUAGAUGGUGAGCGGCCCUGCGCCCUUCCCUGCCUGCCAGCGCCAGGAGCUCCUGUGACUUCAGACCCUCUUCCCCCAGGCUCCUCGCUCCCGCCCCACAGCUGCAGGUGUACCUGCUAGAUAGAAUUCACCGACACUUGCGUCCUCUGCUUUUUUCUCUGGGCAUCUUCCCCGGCCCGUUCUGUCCCCGGCUGGUAGUCGUGGGGGACAAGGUGCCCCAGGCGCUGGCCUCAGGGACGGCGUACAGAGCGGGCCCCUGUGUCUCUGCGCCUGCAGCUCGAACCCUGCAGGAUCCCCUCUGCCUCCGCAGGGCUGGGCCUGCUCCUCGAUCUCUGCAGGAGAGGACCCCGGACUUCUGCUUCUUGGGGGGGGGGGGCAGAGAGGACAGGAUGCCUGAAUGGCUCACGUUUGCUCUGAAAUCACAAUUCUGAUUCCAGAGUCUUUAAUGCCAUUUUGUCCUUUUAGAGGCUUAUUUUUUACUUAAAAAGUGUGUGGGGUGCGUAGACCCAGCCGUGGGAGGCCCGUCGGGAAGUUCCGGGUUGCACGGGAAAAUAGGGGUGGGGCACGCGGAAGGGCGGCAGGGAAUGCAGUCCGGCAUUUUCAGGCAGACCUCAGGGGGACGCAGACGCGCUGCGGACGGUUCUGUGGUUCAGCGGCAUUUUGUAACCGUGAACUCCAGUUUAGCUUUUUUUCUUUUCAAUUUUUAAAAUAUGUUUUAUUUAUUUUUGAGACAGAGAGAGACAGAGCAUGAGCAGGGUAGGGGCAGAGAGAGAGGGAGACACAGAAUCUGAAGACAGGCUCCAGGCUCUGAGCUGUCAGCACAGAGCCUGAUGCGGGGCUCGAACCCACGAACGUGAGAUCAUGACCUGAGCUGAAGUUGGAGGCUUAGUGGACUGAGCCACCCAGGCGCCCCCUCCAGUUUAGCUUUGACCGGUGAACCCGGGAGGGUCUGUGUGGACACUAAGAUCGCAGCCCACUGAUGUCCCAAUUAAAUGUUUUCUUUUGAUUUCAGGACAAGUUGUUAGCUGUUAGCAUUUGUUAUUUUUUCCUUCUGUUGCCACCCCUUCCUGGAUCACGGGGCAGUUGGGUGCAAAUCAAACGGUUCACUGU
RNAcentral lists this long non-coding RNA (1499 nucleotides) under Suricata suricatta (meerkat). Its description in RNAcentral is "lncRNA (ENSSSUG00005003122.1)". Lineage: Eukaryota; Metazoa; Chordata; Mammalia; Carnivora; Herpestidae. The record is from RNAcentral.